GACGAACGCUGGCGGCGUGCUUAACACAUGCAAGUCGAACGGAAAGGCCCUGCUUUUGUGGGGUGCUCGAGUGGCGAACGGGUGAGUAACACGUGAGUAACCUGCCCUUGACUUCGGGAUAACUUCAGGAAACUGGGGCUAAUACCGGAUAGGAGCUCCUGCUGCAUGGUGUGGGUUGGAAAGUUUCGGCGGUUGGGGAUGGACUCGCGGCUUAUCAGCUUGUUGGUGGGGUAGUGGCUUACCAAGGCUUUGACGGGUAGCCGGCCUGAGAGGGUGACCGGCCACAUUGGGACUGAGAUACGGCCCAGACUCCUACGGGAGGCAGCAGUGGGGAAUAUUGCACAAUGGGCGGAAGCCUGAUGCAGCAACGCCGCGUGCGGGAUGACGGCCUUCGGGUUGUAAACCGCUUUCGCCUGUGACGAAGCGUGAGUGACGGUAAUGGGUAAAGAAGCACCGGCUAACUACGUG
This 468-nucleotide ribosomal RNA is filed under the name uncultured bacterium. RNAcentral's name for it is "partial 16S ribosomal RNA". It matches the Rfam family "Bacterial small subunit ribosomal RNA", at positions 28 to 507 of the family's 1533-position model. The record is from RNAcentral.